GUUUAAAUCUCUAGAGAAGAUUCCAGCUCCGAAGAGCAUAAUCGCUGCAACAAUCACCGCAAGUCCAACCCCCAUAACCAAACUCAUCUGCAUUUCCAAUCCCCAACUAAUCCCUUUUAGUGUUUCAAUCUUCUUCUUUGUUUUUCCCCAUUUACAUUUUAUCUUCUUCCGAAUUUAUAUUACACUAGGGAAUUCCAAGUUCUUUACCUGUAGUACCCUUGUGGCUGUAGCCGUUGUCUUCUCGUAAUCUUUCUCUGCAAAUGCACACGCUAGGAUCGCCUGAACCAAAAAUUCAACACCCAUAAAGUAGAAAUUUGAGAGGAAUUGGCGUUACUAGAGAGAUUGAUUAUACGGCAUCGUUACUAGAUAAACAUGGGUUUCGUCCCCAAACGCGAAAUCAAUUGGUUACUGGAGGAGUGGCUCGUAUAUCGUUUAAAGAUUGUGAGGUCCUCGUGUUUUUUCAAUGGUUUCACGUAACUACCUGUCCGGCAACUGCGAGGCCAUCAGCAAGGAGGGAUGAUGUCAUCCAGACCUGCAAGCAAGUCUGGAAGGCAGCCAUUGGCGUUGGACCUAGCCGAGCAGCCAUGGAUGCAGCAAGUGUCACGCAGAAGGUGCUAAUCUCUGUUGUAGAAGAAGAGGAGAAUAUGGGCAUGAAUGUUACCAUUUUUGAGAAACCGACCAAACUGCAAAUCUCUAAGGCUUGGAGGUAAGAGAUCAACUUUUUGCAUCAAUCUCCAAGCAAGGAC
Cucumis sativus (cucumber) is the source of this 746-nucleotide long non-coding RNA. RefSeq lists it as uncharacterized. NCBI's taxonomy places the organism in Eukaryota, Viridiplantae, Streptophyta, Magnoliopsida, Cucurbitales, Cucurbitaceae. The record is from RefSeq and is a predicted model, not a curated record. The transcript is spliced from 3 exons.